GAUGAACGCUGGCGGCGUGCCUAAUACAUGCAAGUCGAGCGAACAGACGAGGAGCUUUCUCCUCUGACGUUAGCGGCGGACGGGUGAGUAACACGUGGAUAACCUACCUAUAAGACUGGGAUAGAUUCGGGAAACCGGAGCUAAUACCAGCUAACAUGUUGAACCGCAUGGUUCAACAGUGUAAGACGGUCUUGCUGUCACUUAUAGAUUGAUCCGGGCCGCAUAGCUAGUUGGUAAGGUAAAGGCUUACCAAGGCAACGAUACGUAGCUGACCUGGGAGGGUGAUCGGCCACACUGGAACUGAGACACGGACCAGACUCCUACGGGAGGCAGCAGUAGGGAAUCUUGCGCAAUGGGCGAAAGCCUGACGGAGCAACGCCGCGUGAGGGAAGAAGGUCUUCGGAUCGUAAAACUCUGUUAUAAGGGAAGAACAAAUGUGUAAGUAACUAUGCACGUCUUGACGGUACCUAAUCAGAAAGCCACGGCUAACUACGUG
This 496-nucleotide ribosomal RNA is filed under the name uncultured bacterium. Its description in RNAcentral is "partial 16S ribosomal RNA". It matches the Rfam family "Bacterial small subunit ribosomal RNA", at positions 28 to 507 of the family's 1533-position model. The record is from RNAcentral.